UACGUAGGGUGCGAGCGUUAAUCGGAAUUACUGGGCGUAAAGCGUGCGCAGGCGGUUUUGUAAGCCAGAUGUGAAAUCCCCGGGCUCAACCUGGGAAUGGCAUUUGGGACUGCAAGGCUUGAGUGCGGCAGAGGAGACUGGAAUUCCUGGUGUAGCAGUGAAAUGCGCAGAUAUCAGGAGGAACACCGGUGGCGAAGGCGGGUCUCUGGGCCGAUACUGACGCUGAGGAGCGAAAGCGUGGGGAGCAAACAGG
This 253-nucleotide ribosomal RNA is filed under the name uncultured bacterium. RNAcentral describes it as "partial 16S ribosomal RNA". It matches the Rfam family "Bacterial small subunit ribosomal RNA", at positions 524 to 776 of the family's 1533-position model. The record is from RNAcentral.